Molecule: ribosomal RNA, 569 nt
Filed under: uncultured Chromatiales bacterium
Lineage: Bacteria; Pseudomonadati; Pseudomonadota; Gammaproteobacteria; Chromatiales
Description: bacterial SSU rRNA
Rfam family: Bacterial small subunit ribosomal RNA
Source: RNAcentral
UGCAAGUCGAACGGUAACAGGCCCUUCGGGGUGCUGACGAGUGGCGGACGGGUGAGUAAUGCGUAGGAAUCUACCCACGAGUGGGGGAUAGCCCGGAGAAAUCCGGAUUAAUACCGCAUAUGCCCUACGGGGUAAAGCGGGGGAUCGUAAGACCUCGCGCUGGUGGAUGAGCCUACGUCCGAUUAGUUAGUUGGUGGGGUAAAGGCCUACCAAGGCUACGAUCGGUAGCUGGUCUGAGAGGACGACCAGCCACACUGGGACUGAGACACGGCCCAGACUCCUACGGGAGGCAGCAGUGGGGAAUAUUGGACAAUGGGGGAAACCCUGAUCCAGCAAUGCCGCGUGGGCGAUGACGGCCUUCGGGUUGUAAAGCCCUUUUGGUGGGAAAGAAAAGCGGAGCGCUAAUAUCGUUCCGUAUUGACGGUACCCACAGAAUAAGCACCGGCAAACUCCGUGCCAGCAGCCGCGGUAAGACGGGGGGUGCAAGCGUUAAUCGGAAUUACUGGGCGUAAAGCGCACGUAGGCGGUUGAAUAAGUCGGUUGUGAAAUCCCCGGGCUUAACCUGGGAA